This 502-nucleotide ribosomal RNA is filed under the name uncultured bacterium. Its description in RNAcentral is "partial 16S ribosomal RNA". It matches the Rfam family "Bacterial small subunit ribosomal RNA", at positions 29 to 523 of the family's 1533-position model. The record is from RNAcentral.
AUUGAACGCUGGCGGAAUGCUUUACACAUGCAAGUCGAACGGCAGCACGGGUGCUUGCACCUGGUGGCGAGUGGCGAACGGGUGAGUAAUACAUCGGAACGUACCCUGACGUGGGGGAUAACGUAGCGAAAGUUACGCUAAUACCGCAUACGUCCUGAGGGAGAAAGCAGGGGAUCGUAAGACCUUGCGCGUUAGGAGCGGCCGAUGGCGGAUUAGCUAGUUGGUAGGGUAAAGGCCUACAAAGGCGACGAUCGGUAGCGGGUCUGAGAGGACGACCCGCCACACUGGAACUGAGACACGGUCCAGACUCCUACGGGAGGCAGCAGUGGGGAAUUUUGGACAAUGGGCGAAAGCCUGAUCCAGCCAUUCCGCGUGAGUGAAGAAGGCCUUCGGGUUGUAAAGCUCUUUCGGCAGGGAAGAAACGGUUUUGGAUAAUACCCAGAACUAAUGACGGUACCUGAAGAAGAAGCACCGGCUAACUACGUGCCAGCAGCCGCGGUAA